GGCUGUUCGCCCUCUGCUGCGCUUGUACGCUCGCCGAGCUCGUGCGCGCCUACCCCGCGCAGCCUCAGGUUUACGUUCCUCAUCGCUCUCACCUGCCCAAGUCUCGGGGCCGCUGACAUGACGCUGGGGAGCGCUCAGAGCGAGGCGGAGAUGGACUCAGUGGUCUUUGAGGAUGUGGCUGCGGACUUCACCUGGGCAGAGUGGACUUUGCUAAGUCCUGUUCAGAGGAACUCUACAUAGAUGUGAUGCUUCGAAUCUUCAGGAACUUGGCCUCAGCAGGUUUUCUGCUUGUGACCACUCCCAUGUCUGAAAAGAUGAGUGACGAUAGAGUUCUGCCACAUUCCUCUCGUGGCAUUUACCAGGGAGACAUGUUUCUGAAGAGGAGAGAAAAGGAAAGGCCAUCCCACAUUCCUGACAUGGACAGGUUUUGUCUACAGCAUCAGAUCUCACAUCAACGCUUAGAUAUGAGACCCGUCUAGCCUCACACUGAAGGCGGGGGUCUAGACUUGGGUUUCCACUGAAGCCCUCCCCGCCCCUGCACUCGGUACAUUGGUAGGAUUCGACUCCAGGAGGGUGUCUUUGUUUCACAGCAAGACUGUAGUCUCGCUUUGGUUUCUCCCCACUGAUCACCUACAUCACUGUUGUUCCACAUAUGGACGAUGUACAUUCAUAAUCGGGCUUCCCUGGUGGCGUAGGGGUUAAGCUUCCGCCUGCUAAUGCAGGGGACACAGGUUCCAGCCCUGGUCUGGGAAGAUCCCACAUGGCACGGAGCAACUGAGCCCAUGAGCCACAACUACCGAGCCUGCGCUCGACAGCCCGUGAGCCACAACUGAGCCCACGAGCCACAACUACUGAAGCCCGCGCGCCUAGAGCCCAUGCUCAGCAACAAGAGAAGCCACUGCACUGAGAAGCCCGUGCACCGCAACGAAGAUCCAACGCAGGCAAAAAUAAAUAAAUAAAUAAUAUUUUAAAAAAUUCAUAAUCAUU
Long non-coding RNA from Mesoplodon densirostris (Blainville's beaked whale), 987 nucleotides. RefSeq lists it as uncharacterized. The transcript is spliced from 3 exons. The record is from RefSeq and is a predicted model, not a curated record. NCBI's taxonomy places the organism in Eukaryota, Metazoa, Chordata, Mammalia, Artiodactyla, Ziphiidae.